AUGUCGAGGCCAGCGGCCGCGGCCGCAGCGGCGCUGCUGGUGAUCCUCGCGGCGGCGGGCGGCGCGGCGGCGAAGACCACGAUCGAGCCCUGCUCCAGCGCCGACUCGUGCGCGGCGCUGCUCGGCUACUCGCUCUACGCCGACAUGAAGGUCUCCGAGGUGGCGGCGCUCUUCGGCGCGGACCCGGCGGCGCUGCUGGCCGCCAACGCGCUCGACUUCGCCUCCCCCGGCGCCGCCAACCGGAUCCUCCCCGCGGGGCUCCUCCUCCGCGUCCCCACCCGCUGCGCCUGCGCCGACGGCGUCCGCAAGUCCGUCUCCGUCCGCUACGCCGCGCGCCCCGCCGACACGCUCGCCACCGUCGCCGACGUCGUCUUCGCGGGCCUCGCCUCCGCCGACCAGAUCCGCAGCGCCAACGGGCUCGCCGAGGCGGACCCCGACGCGCUGCUCGACGCCGGCCAGAUUCUCGUCGUCCCCUUCCCCUGCGUCUGCCUCAACUCCACCGACAACAACCUCCCCGCCGUCUACCUCUCCUAUGUCGUGCGGGUCGGGGACACCGUGCAAUCCAUCGCUGCCACCCACGCCACCACUGUCACGGAUCUCAGCAAUGUGAAUGCCAUGGGGAGCCCCGUCGUGGCACCCGGCGACAUCCUUGCAGUUCCAUUAUCAGCAUGCGCGUCUACGUUUCCUAACUUUGCUUCGGACUAUGGAUUGCUCGUGGCAAACGGGACAUAUGCACUUACUGCUGGUAACUGUGUGGAAUGCAGCUGUGGGCCAGGGGAUCUCAAUCUGUACUGCACUCCAGCUUCAUUAGGAACGUCAUGUUCAAGUAUGCAGUGCUCCAAUAGCAGUCUAAUGCUUGGUAACGUGACUACCCAGCCCACCAGCGGUGGCUGCGGUGUCUCGUCUUGCAGCUAUGCCGGCUUCGUUAACGGAAGCAUUACCACAUCGCUGUCCUCGGGUCUUCAACCUACAUGCCCUGGACCGCAUCAAGUUCCUCCACUCAUGGAGCCGUCCACCGCAGCAAUCCACGACUCGUACCUUGCUCCAUCGCCUUCGCCAGGACCUGGGGAGGCAGGUGGUGAUGUUCCUGGUUCGUCUGACCCUGGAGCAUCCUCCCAUUCUCUUGCUGGAAGCCUCUCGCCCUCCGUGCAUCAGCUGCAUCAAAUGAUCCUCAUUCUUUCUCUAGUCUUCUACCUGCAUAUGUGA
RNAcentral lists this ribosomal RNA (1206 nucleotides) under Triticum aestivum (bread wheat). RNAcentral's name for it is "partial small subunit ribosomal RNA". Lineage: Eukaryota; Viridiplantae; Streptophyta; Magnoliopsida; Poales; Poaceae. The record is from RNAcentral.